Molecule: long non-coding RNA, 7127 nt
Organism: Oncorhynchus tshawytscha (Chinook salmon)
Lineage: Eukaryota; Metazoa; Chordata; Actinopteri; Salmoniformes; Salmonidae
Source: Ensembl
CGGGUCUAAGACAAGCACAAACACCGUUCCCACUCACAGUGAAGGAGCAAGGAGGUGGCAUGAUGUCGUCAGACAGGGAUAAAAGGGCUGUGUUUGGUAAAGGAAUCGCGUUCGACCCCUGCCAGCUUCGAGACCCUUGGGAGAACAGAGCCCAGAAGAUCAGUGAGAAGGGACAGCAGGAGAAGGAGGGGCAGGAAAAUAGAGACCUGAAUCGGCUUAUUAAAGAGCGGCACAUUCGACUGAUGGCAUUGGAGAAGAAAGGAAAGGGCAGAAAUAUGGUGUAUUGUCCUCUACUGAAACGGUUUAAGCUUGAUCCUCCACUAGACGCAGCCCCGCCCCCACCUCCACCCCCACCCACUCCCAAGAAAUCACCACGACGGGUGAAGAUAGAGAUCCCCAAGCCAGUGGAGAAGAAGCCCACCCCACCUAAACCAUCACCUCCUCCUCUGCCCAAAGUCAUUCUCUCAUACAAAGACUUACAAAGACGAUCUGAGGGAAAAUGGUGGAGGGGGAUUAGGGAUAGAGAACUACCGAAUGGUCCAAGUGAAUGGUCAAAGCCCUUUAAGUGUCGACCACUGCAGUUCAGUAGAAUCCUUUACGACCAAACAAUGUCCUGGCAGCGGGGAUGGCCAACGUUCAGCCGGGAAAAAAGCAACAAACUACUGAAAGUUAAACCUUUGGAUGACAAAGUUGACCUUAAAGAGUGGAAGGAUUCUUGGAAGAUGUCCAGGCCUUUACCCAAGCAGCACACAGAAAACAGGGGCAUUACAGAAAAAGUAAAGGCUUUCAGAGAGUGGCAGAAUCGCUUGGCAAUCAGCAGAAAUAGAACAUCUACGGCAGUGGAGAAGAAAGGAAAGAGCAGGGACAUGUCUAACUUCAGGUCUAAAGUGGCACCUCCAUCAACUAUACAGAAAUCUGAGCCACCAACUCAUAAGAAAAAACAUGAACCACUCCUUCAGCUGAGGAAGGAGAGCUCUGAGGAAAAUAAGCCCUCCGCACCCAAGAGCGCAAAGCCCCCAGCCCCACAACCCAAGGAGAAGAAGCUGCUUGCCAUAAAACCGUCACCUCCUCAGGAUGACACAGUAAAUCUUCCAUGGUGGAAGAAAGUUUGUAGGACGUCCAAGCCUUCACUCAAGCAGCACACAGAGAAUCAGAUGAUUGCAGAAACUGUUAAGACAGGGACGGGCGAUGACAUGUCUGACUCCAGAAAAAUUGUGAUGAGCCUUGAUAAUGAUGCUGACAUUGAAGCAGCACAUUUGGAGACCAGGUUUGGAGACCAGGUUUGGAGGCCAAGUUUGGAGGCCAGGUUUGGAGUCCAUGCUAAGGUGGUACCUCCACCCACACCACCCACAAAGACACAUGAACCACCCAAGAAAUCGCAAUUUGAUGCCCCCCAAAAAACUCAGGCUUCAUCGGACAUACUUGAUGUCAAUAAAUGGUCAGAAGCCUGGAGGACUCAACCACUGUUGUUGAACAUUAAAGAACAAGUAUCUCUGGAGGCUUGGGAGCAGGAAUGGUCAGAGUUCACAGAGGAACAAAGUGAUAAACGACUGAAUACUAAGCCUUUGGAUGACAAUGUAAAUCUUACAGAAUGGGGGGAUGCUUGGAAGACGCCCAAACCUUUAGCCAAGCAGCACACUGCAGACUUGACGGUUACAGAGACAGUAAAGCCCAAAGCCUUGACAGGUUGGAGAGAGGCAAGGAGGCUCUCUGGUGACAAUGUUCAAAAUAAUCCUCCAAGUCUGAAGGAUUGGCGUGACUCGUGGAGUUUCUGCCAAGAACAUCGCUGGUGGAAGGUUUCUAUGGACUCCCAGAUGUCAAAACAACUUUUUUCCCAUCUAAGGAAAAGGGGCGGAGGGCUUUUUUUGUUUUGUUUUUUGUUUUUGUUUCUUUGUUUUCUUGGACACAAUACGGACUGGGGACAAUAGGACUUAAUUACCAUGACAGCCAUGAAGCAAGCAAACAUUGCAAACAAAUAAACAACACAACACAUUUAGGUUAAGACAUGAAAACGAUGACAACCAUGCAUUAUAACCUAAUUAACUUAAAGUAACUUUUUAAAGACCAAACUCAAAGAAAACUGUUAACAGUAUGUGAUGGGACAUGCGAGGAAAGGAAAGGAGAGGAAAGUAAAGGGAAGGAAAAUAAGGCUGGUAAAAAGCAAGAUGUUAUGGCAAGGAUUUUGUAAAGUGUAUGUAUGCAGAUGGGAUUAGGCUGGGGGAGAUUGUGGGCUGAGGGCCCUUGGGUAAUGUUUUUGUCAGCAAAUAAACUUUAGAAAAGAUGGUGGAUAAAUGAAGAAGUCUUAUUCAGGCCGUUUACCAUUGAAGAAAAUGGUCACAGUUCCGGUCUAAUUAUUAAGGAGUGGCUCUCGGGUCUGGUAAAAUUAGUCAAUUGACUGUACUGUACAUGAACCAGAAAAAAUGAAGGAGUGAGAUGUUUCGCUUCCUCCUCUGUCUCUGACUGUAGGCAGUUCCUACUCCCAUCAUGACCCAAACUGACAGAGCUGCACUAGUUGACUUCAAGAAACCUGAAGAAGCUUCCUUUUCAGAUAUGUAGUGUUUGAUAUUAGCAAAUGUGGGACACCUUUUCAUUUUAAGUGGGCAAGGAUGUGACAGGGUGUAGCUGAUAUUGUUGAGUUAAUUAACAUAGUCAUGUUACAUGCCUCCUAUUGGUCUGUUCGAACUGAUUCUUUGUGUUUUGUCUUAAUUGAUUGCAGGUGUGACUGCGGAGCAUGCGUCUCCUCCUGUUAUCUUAAAAUGGCUGCAUUUCCUGCCAACCAGGAAGAGGAAAAAAGAGCCGCUGCUACCUCCAAGUCCCCAGACUAGCUCUAGCCUAUGGACUGAACUCCCAAUCACAGUUGAAAAUAAUUAUAUCUAGGCUCUGUGUUUAUUGUGAAAUUCUGAGUACAUCUUGUCGGAUCAGUGUCUGUGAGGACUUGGAGACAGUCAGCAAAGGAGGUGGCAUGAUGUUGUCAGACAGGGAUAAAGGGACAGUGUACGACAACUUCCACCUCAGGAACCAAUGGGAGAACAGAGCUAAGCAGUUCAGUCAGAAGGGACAACUGGAAAAGGAGAGACAAGGAAAGAGUGCCUUGAAUGGGCUUUACAAAAAGUGGCAGUCUCGCCUGGCGAACACAAAUGGAACUCCUACGGCAGCGGAGAAGAAAGGAAAGGGCAGUAACAUAUCUGACUUCAGAAAGGUUGCGGUGAUCCCAGACAUUGAUGCUGACAUCGAAAGAGCCAUAUUUAAGGUGGUACCACCACCAAAGAUUCCCAAACCUGCUCCAUCCCCACCACCCAAAAAGAAACCACUCAAGAGGGCAAAGCCCCAAGUUCUCAAACCAGCCGGAGGCUGGGAUGACUCAUGGAAGAGCCUGAAGCCCCCAGAGCAGGAAGUCCAACCUGAGGAAAAAUGGUGGAGGGAUUUGAAGCCAGAUAGAUACCUACCUCUCAGCGAAUGGGCAAGGCCCUUCAAGUGUCGACCACUGUUAUUCAGUUUCAUCCUUCACCAGCAAACAGAGUGGUGGCAGCGAGGAUGGCCAGUGUUCAGCUGGGAACAAAGCAACAAACUAUUGAAAGCUAAGCCUUUGGAUGUCGGAGUAAACCUUCUAGGGUGGGAGGACGCUUGGAAGACAUCCACAUCUUUAUCCAAGCAACACAUUGAGAACCAGAUGAUUACAGAAACAGUACAGCUCAAAGCCUUCUUCCCAGGCUGGACAGAAUCUUGGAAGGUCGCAGGUGAAAAUGUCCAAAACAGUGGCCGAUAUCUGAGGGAUUGGCACGAGUCCUGGAGUUUGUGCCAAGAAUACCACUGGUACAAGGCCCCCAUAGACUCCCAGUUGAUGUCAAAACAUGUGUUGUCCGAUGAGUUGUUGAUCUCUCAGCUUGAUGAGGAUAUCCCAUCGUCAUCAGAUUGGAUAGAGUCCUGGAAAUCUGUGAAAUCUCAGCCCCAGUACCAAGAGUCCCAGUCAGAGCCCAAAGGGACUGAAUUAAAGGUAGAAAUGUCCCAUGUGCCACUGCAUUUCCAGUUCCACAAGCUUAACACACCUUUCUCAAACUGGCACGAGUCUUGGAAAGUGUCAACUGCAAAUAAUGAAGCAAUUGAAGAUGGAUGGAAAGGUUCCUGGAAGAUAUGUAGUCAGCAUCAAAAUGACACAAAUGCCCAAAGAGAUGUUGUGUUUUUCUCAAAUAAGUACAAGACCCAAAUGUUCUGGGGUGUUGACAGCAUGCCUCAGAGUGAAUGGUCUAAAUCCUGGAAGACCCCCAUGCCUCCCCAACAUACUUUCUUGCCAGGUUGGAAAGAAUCUUGGAAACAAAACAGCAAUCCAUAUUGGAAGGAUUGGCAUGAGUCCUGGAGUUUGUGCCAAGAACACCACUGUUGCAAGUCCUUUAUGGACUUCCAGUAUUGCCAUCAUGCUAUGAUGAUGUCAAAAUGCUUGCUGACCAAUGAGCUGUUGAGCUCCCAGCUUGAUGAGGAAAUCCCUUCUUCAUACGAGUGGAUUGUGUCCUGGAAAUCUGUGAAACCUUAUCCUCAGUCCCAGUCAGAUUCAGAAGAAACUGAAUCAGAGUUGGAAAUGUCCCAUGUCCCACUGCAUCUUCAGUUCUACAAGCUUAACACACCUUUCUCAAACUGGCAUGAGUCUUGGAAAGUGUCAACUGCACAAGCUGUAGCAGGUAACGAUGAACAACAUCCUUCAACAGAAUGGGCGGAUUCCUGGAAGAUAUCUUGGACGAACCUAAAUAGAAAUGACUUAAAACCCCAAAGGGAUGUUGUAUUUUUCUCAAGGCAUAAGACUGAAUGUGUUUUGAGUGUUGACUGUAUGGUCCAGAAUGAAUGGUCUGAAUGCUGGAAGACCAUCAAGCCUACCCAAUACACUACGACACAGGAGGAGGAGGAGGAGGAGGAAAAAGAUGGCCAUUCUGACUCCUCUAAACAUUUGUCACAUCUAAUAGAGAUUCCUUUGAAUGAUUGGGCAGACUCAUGGAGGUUCAAGCCAGAGGAUGAGAGCCCCACCUCACGCAAGACGGCACAGCCCCUAGCCCCAAAACCAGAGGAGGAGAUGCUGAAAGCCAGUACACCAUCACAUCCUCAGCCUUACAAAUACAAUCUUAACCAGGCAAUCUGGGGUGAUUCCUGGAAAAUCCUGAAGCCCCCACAGAAGUCAGUCCCAUCUGGAAAAAAAUGGUGGAGGGCGUUUAAGCAGGACAGAAACCUACCUUUCAAUGAAUGGGCAAAGCCCUUCAAGUGUCGACCACUGCUAUUCAGUCGCUUACUGCACACACAAACAACAUCCUGGCAGCAGGGAUGGCCAGCGCACAGCUGGGAACAAAGCAACAAACUACUGAAUGCUAAGCGUUUGGAUAACAAAGUAAACCUUACGGAGUGGGAGGAUGCAUGGAAGACACUCAAGCCUUUACACAAGCAGCAUACUGAGAACAAGAUGAUUACAGAAAGAGUACAGCCCAAUGGCUUCUUGCCAGGUUGGACAGAAUCUUGGAAGGUCGCAGGUAACAAUGUUCAAAACAACAAUCCAUAUCUGAAGGAUUGGCAGGAGUCCUGGAGUUCUUGUCAUGAACAUCACUCCUACAAGGCCUCUAUAGACUCCCAGAAUCGGCAGUAUCUCCCUGUAUCACUAAAACACAAGCUGUUCAAGGAUCUGUUGAUCUCCCAGCUUGAUGAAAACAUUACGGCCUCACCAGAAGGGGUAGAGUCCUGGAAAUCUUUGAAAAAUCAACCUCCGUCCCAGGCAGAGCCCGAAGAAAUUGAAUCAGAGAUAGAUAUGCCUGAUGUGCCACUGCAUCUCCAGUUCCACAAGAUUAACACACCUUUCUCAGACUGGCACCAGUCUUGGAAAGUGUCAACUGCAGAAAGUGAAGGUGAAAAACAACAGAGAGAAUGGAAUGGUUCCUGGAAGAUAUAUUGUCCGUAUCUGUCAAAAAACAACACAAAAGCCCAAAAUGAUUUUGUGUUUUUGUCCAAUAAGCAUAAGACUUACAAGUGCCUGGGUGUUGAUCAUGCUGAAAACAGCAUGCCUCAGAAUGAAUGGUCUGAAUCUUGGAAGACAAAGCAGCACCAGCAGCAGUUGGAGGACUGGGCAGAGUCUUGGAGGUUAUCUGUCGCCCCAGAAUCCAACAACUCAGUAUCACUGGACCGGUGGAAACGAUCAUGGAGACUCUCAAAACCAAAUCACCCACAUCAGCUUAACCAGGGCACAGAGCCUCUCAUACACAACAGCCCCAAACACCACAUGCAACUCCACGAGGUUGAACUGCCCCAGGCAGAAUGGAGCAACUCCUGGCAGUACCUCAAGUCAGACACUCUGGAUCCUAACACGAAGAAGGAACAGACAUACAGUAGAACAUUAUAACAUGUACGUCAAAUGAUCAGAUAUGUAUUUGAUCCUAUACUAUUUUUACUUCAUGUCAAUAUACAUACUUGUUAAAUGUCUUAUUACUGGACACAUUGGAGUGAGACUAGCAGAAUUAUCUGCUGCAAGGAGGAGGUUGGGGUGGAUGAAGUGUAUAACACGUAGUUUGCUCUUGGAAACUUUAAAUCUAACCUAAACUAAUUACUUCUAUUCUAUUGACUGAAAUGUUGUUGUUUUCUACCUGCUGUUGUUGCUACUUCUAUUGUUGCUGGUUGUCUUUGUGACUAAAUUAAUGCUUGAUUGACAAACACUUUAUCCAUCUGGGAUUAAUAAAUAUAAUUUAAUUAUCAUAUUAAUUGCUAAAGUAACAUCAAUGUUGAAGGUUUCUCUCAAAUUGCCAGACCGUUCACCAGGACUGAACGGGGAUCUUUGAACGAUGUGCGCUGAGAGUUGGGAAGAAAGUUCAGGGAGUGAGUGUUUAAAUAAAUAAACACAACAUAACAAGAAACAUGCACAGACAUGACACUGGAACAGAAACAAUGACACCUGGGAAAGGAACCAAAGGGAGUGACGCAUGUAGGGCAGGUAAUCAAGGAGGUGAUGGAGUCCAGGUGAGUCCGGCGCGAUAACGAGCAGCCUGGUGACCUAGAGGGCGGAUAGGGAGCACACAUGACAGAUCUGAAUUCAGGACAGGCAUUUCUAACACAAAAAAUGAAAUAAUCAACAUUCUGUCCAAAUGCAACCAUUUAGACAGAACCAC